This 946-nucleotide long non-coding RNA is filed under the name Carica papaya (papaya). Its description in RNAcentral is "long non-coding RNA (CPAP_LNC000622)". The record is from RNAcentral. Lineage: Eukaryota; Viridiplantae; Streptophyta; Magnoliopsida; Brassicales; Caricaceae.
AAGUAUAAUCAUUAAUAUUUAACUAAUACUUAGCUGAAUGAUCAAUAAAUCACUUCAUCUAUCAAAAAUUACAUUUUCAAGUUAAUUUGUGUUUCUGUAUGCCAAAUAAGUAUAUGUAUACCUGGUAAGAGAGAGAGAGAGAGAGAGAGAGAGAGAGAGAGAGAGAGAGAGAUGAAAGUAUAUAUAUGUAUAUAGUUAAAUAAGUAUAUAUGUAUAUAUAUAACAGGCGAAAGAGAAUGGAGACUGUGAUAAUUAACAUAUAUAUUAAAAGUCGAUGGAUGAGAUGGAAACUAAUUAAAACAAGUUCAAGAUAAGAUGAUGAAGUACUGAUGAUAGCAGAAGCUGCUGCUGCUGCCAUUAAUGGAAAGAUUAUCUUCAAAAUGCAAGAACUCGAAAUGGCUUCCAUGGCGGUCUCUGCAAAUUACAGAGGAAGAAUUUCCGACAAAGAACAAGUAGAAGAGAGCAAACCCUACAAGACAACCCACGUACAUCACUCUCUGAAAAUUGAAGAAUAUAUAAUACGCCACCAGUGACAUGUAAUAGGAGUACAUCGUGAUCUCUUCUAUAUAUCACUCAUACAUGUGUGUGUGUAUAUAUAUGUGUGUGUGUGAGUGUGAGUGUGAGUUUGUGUUAUGAGAGUUUUCGAUUACUUUAUACAUAUAUACAUAUAUAUAUAUAGAGAGAGAGAGAGAGAAGAGGGAUUCUCAUGUCAAAAUGUCCACCACAGGAUAUGCAGUUACUGAGCUUUUAUAGAGGCUGGCAAAAACAACAUGAUCACAUGACAGGAUGAGCUUUUUAUAUUAUAUAUGAUAUAAUAUGAUAUGAUAUUAUAUCAUAUGAUGUUAUAUAUACUCAUCCAUCACAUGCUUAUGUUGUUUGUAUUAUAAUGUAUACGUGUAAGUAAAUGUACAUGUACGUAGUAUUGUCACCACUCACAUUAAAUACG